RNAcentral lists this ribosomal RNA (1000 nucleotides) under uncultured bacterium. RNAcentral describes it as "bacterial SSU rRNA". It matches the Rfam family "Bacterial small subunit ribosomal RNA", at positions 355 to 1375 of the family's 1533-position model. The record is from RNAcentral. RNAcentral also lists the same sequence under 1 other name.
UGGGGGAUAUUGCGCAAUGGGGGCAACCCUGACGCAGCAACGCCGCGUGAAGGAUGAAGGUUUUCGGAUUGUAAACUUCUUUUAUUAAGGACGAAAAAUGACGGUACUUAAUGAAUAAGCUCCGGCUAACUACGUGCCAGCAGCCGCGGUAAUACGUAGGGAGCAAGCGUUGUCCGGAUUUACUGGGUGUAAAGGGUGCGUAGGCGGCUUUGCAAGUCAGAUGUGAAAUCUAUGGGCUCAACCCAUAAACUGCAUUUGAAACUGUAGAGCUUGAGUGAAGUAGAGGCAGGCGGAAUUCCCCGUGUAGCGGUGAAAUGCGUAGAGAUGGGGAGGAACACCAGUGGCGAAGGCGGCCUGCUGGGCUUUAACUGACGCUGAGGCACGAAAGCGUGGGUAGCAAACAGGAUUAGAUACCCUGGUAGUCCACGCUGUAAACGAUGAUUACUAGGUGUGGGGGGACUGACCCCCUGCGUGCCGCAGCUAACGCAAUAAGUAUUCCACCUGGGGAGUACGAUCGCAAGGUUGAAACUCAAAGGAAUUGACGGGGGCCCGCACAAGCGGUGGAUUAUGUGGUUUAAUUCGAAGCAACGCGAAGAACCUUACCAGGGCUUGACAUCCUACUAACGAGAUAGAGAUAUGUUAGGUGCCCUUCGGGGAAAGUAGAGACAGGUGGUGCAUGGUUGUCGUCAGCUCGUGUCGUGAGAUGUUGGGUUAAGUCCCGCAACGAGCGCAACCCCUAUUGUUAGUUGCUACGCAAGAGCACUCUAGCGAGACUGCCGUUGACAAAACGGAGGAAGGUGGGGACGACGUCAAAUCAUCAUGCCCCUUAUGUCCUGGGCUACACACGUAAUACAAUGGCGGUCAACAGAGGGAUGCAAAACCGUGAGGUGGAGCGAACCCCUAAAAGCCGUCCCAGUUCAGAUCGUGGGCUGCAACCCGCCCACGUGAAGUCGGAAUCGCUAGUAAUCGCGGAUCAGCAUGCCGCGGUGAAUACGUUCCC